GACGAACGCUGGCGGCGUGCUUAACACAUGCAAGUCGAACGAUGAAGCAGAGAAACGCGCACUUCGGUUCAAAUUUCACUUCGGAUUAGUGGCAGACGGGUGAGUAACGCGUGAGCAACCUACCUCUUACAAAGGGAUAGCCUCGGGAAACCGUGAUUAAUACCAUAUGACACAUUCAUAAGGCAUCUUAAGAAUGUUAAAGCUACGGCGGUAAGAGAUGGGCUCGCGUCCCAUUAGCUAGUUGGUGAGGUAACGGCUCACCAAGGCGACGAUGGGUAACCGGCCUGAGAGGGUGAACGGUCACAUUGGAACUGAGACACGGUCCAAACUCCUACGGGAGGCAGCAGUGGGGAAUAUUGCACAAUGGAGGGAACUCUGAUGCAGCGACGCCGCGUGAGCGAUGAAGGAAUUCGUUUCGUAAAGCUCUGUUCUAUGGGAAGAAAAGGACUGUACCAUAGGAGAAAGCCCCGGCUAAAUACGUG
This 482-nucleotide ribosomal RNA is filed under the name uncultured bacterium. RNAcentral's name for it is "partial 16S ribosomal RNA". It matches the Rfam family "Bacterial small subunit ribosomal RNA", at positions 28 to 507 of the family's 1533-position model. The record is from RNAcentral.